AAGCGCUUGUGACCAGACUUGUGCCUUGUGAAUCAUCCAGCGUUCUCGCUGGUGCACUUCGCUGGGUUCAGGCCAGCAUCGGUUUCCUUAGGGGGAUAAAAGCGGCAGGAACGUAGCUCUUUCGGGAGUGUUAUAGCCUGUUGUACAAUACCCUUCAGGGGACCGAGGUUCGCGCAUCUGCAAGGAUGCUGGCGUAAUGGUCAUCAGCG
RNAcentral lists this ribosomal RNA (209 nucleotides) under Xylariales sp. Its description in RNAcentral is "partial large subunit ribosomal RNA". Lineage: Eukaryota; Fungi; Ascomycota; Sordariomycetes; Xylariales. The record is from RNAcentral.